This is a long non-coding RNA of Oncorhynchus keta (chum salmon), 1640 nucleotides long. RefSeq lists it as uncharacterized. Lineage: Eukaryota; Metazoa; Chordata; Actinopteri; Salmoniformes; Salmonidae. The record is from RefSeq and is a predicted model, not a curated record. The transcript is spliced from 3 exons.
UGACCUCUUGACCUGGUCUCCUGACCUGACCUCUUGACCUGACCUCCUGACCUGGUCUGGCUGUUUCCUCAUCGUGUAGACUGAUCUCCUGACCUGACCUCCUGACCUGGUCUGGCUGUUUCCUCAUCGUGUCGACUGACCUCCUGACCUGGUCUCCUGACCUGACCUCCUGACCGUAUCCUCAGCAUGGAGACUGACCUCCUGACCUGGUCUCCUGACCUGACCUCCUGACCUGACCUCCUGACCUCCUGACCUGACCUCCUGACCUGACCUCCUGACCUGGCCUCCUGACCUGACCUCCUGACCUGACCUCCUGACCUGACCUCCUGACCUGACCUCCUGACCUGGCCUCCUGACCUGGCCUCCUGACCUGACCUCCUGACCUGACCUCCUGACCUGACCUCCUGACCUGACCUCCUGACCUGACCUCCUGACCUGACCUCCUGACCUGACCUGACCUCCUGACCUGAACUCCUGACCUGACCUCCUGACCGUCAUACACUCCUCUUUGUGACCAAACUGGAUGUGAUCAGGCGUUGUUGAACUGUUGUGUGAUUUAGGGCUCUAUUCAAUCUGAAUGGUUGAAAGUUCAGCGUUUUACAGCAUGAUAUGAACAUUUUAAAGGCUUAGUGGAGACCUUAUACAACCUGUACCACUUCAGCCACCCAGACUGAAUAGAGCCCUUAGUGUCAGACAUUACUGUAGAGGUCAAUGGUGAACCACUUCAGCCACCCAGACUGAAUAGAGCCCUUAGUGUCAGACAUUACUGUAGAGGUCAAUGGUGAACCACUUCAGCCACCCAGACUGAAUAGAGCCCUUAGUGUCAGACAUUACUGUAGAGGUCAAUGGUGAACCACUUCAGCCACCCAGACUGAAUAGAGCCCUUAGUGUCAGACAUUACUGUAGAGGUCAAUGGUGAACCACUUCAGCCACCCAGACUGAAUAGAGCCCUUAUAGUGUCAGACGUUACUGUAGAGGUCAAUGGUGAACCACUUCAGCCACCCAGACUGAAUAGAGCCCUUAGUGUCAGACAUUACUGUAGAGGUCAAUGGUGAACCACUUCAGCCACCCAGACUGAAUAGAGCCCUUAUAGUGUCAGACAUUACUGUAGAGGUCAAUGGUGAACCACUUCAGCCACCCAGACUGAAUAGAGCCCUUAGUGUCAGACAUUACUGUAGAGGUCAAUGGUGAACCACUUCAGCCACCCAGACUGAAUAGAGCCCUUAGUGUCAGACAUUACUGUAGAGGUCAAUGGUGAACCACUUCAGCCACCCAGACUGAAUAGAGCCCUUAGUGUCAGACAUUACUGUAGAGGUCAAUGGUGAACCACUUCAGCCACCCAGACUGAAUAGAGCCCUUAGUGUCAGACAUUACUGUAGAGGUCAAUGGUGAACCACUUCAGCCACCCAGACUGAAUAGAGCCCUUAGUGUCAGACAUUACUGUAGAGGUCAAUGGUGAACCACUUCAGCCACCCAGACUGAAUAGAGCCCUUAGUGUCAGACAUUACUGUAGAGGUCAAUGGUGAACCACUUCAGCCACCCAGACUGAAUAGAGCCCUUAGUGUCAGACAUUACUGUAGAGGUCAAUGGUGAACCACUUCAGCCACCCAGACUGAAUAGAGCCCUUAGUGUCAGACAUU